GGGUUGUGAGGUUAAGCGACUAAGCGUACACGGUGGAUGCCCUGGCAGUCAGAGGCGAUGAAGGACGUGCUAAUCUGCGAUAAGCGCCGGUAAGGUGAUAUGAACCGUUAUAACCGGCGAUUUCCGAAUGGGGAAACCCAGUGUGAUUGGUCACACUAUCAUUAACUGAAUCCAUAGGUUAAUGAGGCGAACCGGGGGAACUGAAACAUCUAAGUACCCCGAGGAAAAGAAAUCAACCGAGAUUCCCCCAGUAGCGGCGAGCGAACGGGGAGGAGCCCAGAGCCUGAAUCAGCAUGUGUGUUAGUGGAAGCGUCUGGAAAGGCGCGCGAUACAGGGUGACAGCCCCGUACACAAAAGCGCAUGUGCUGUGAGCUCGAUGAGUAGGGCGGGACACGUGGUAUCCUGUCUGAAUAUGGGGGGACCAUCCUCCAAGGCUAAAUACUCCUGACUGACCGAUAGUGAACCAGUACCGUGAGGGAAAGGCGAAAAGAACCCCGGCGAGGGGAGUGAAAAAGAACCUGAAACCGUGUACGUACAAGCAGUGGGAGC
Molecule: ribosomal RNA, 549 nt
Filed under: Salmonella enterica
Lineage: Bacteria; Pseudomonadati; Pseudomonadota; Gammaproteobacteria; Enterobacterales; Enterobacteriaceae
Description: bacterial LSU rRNA
Rfam family: Bacterial large subunit ribosomal RNA
Source: RNAcentral